This 186-nucleotide ribosomal RNA is filed under the name Triticum aestivum (bread wheat). RNAcentral's name for it is "partial small subunit ribosomal RNA". The record is from RNAcentral. Lineage: Eukaryota; Viridiplantae; Streptophyta; Magnoliopsida; Poales; Poaceae.
AUGUCGAGUUGUGGGGCGCGUCCUGCACCCACUUCUCUUUCAGAGUAUAUUUAUGCAUUUGUCCAUGAUUAGGGAUUAAAUGGUUCUAAACAUGUGGAAAUAGUUAGUUGUAAUAACAAGAAAUUUAGCUCACCGCUUGUGAAACGUUUAAUUAUUCGAAUGUAUCAGCAGAGUUUUUUUGGAUAA